RNA transcript from Cebus imitator (Panamanian white-faced capuchin), 1088 nucleotides. It is a transcript of the gene named 60S ribosomal protein L13a-like, with no coding region annotated. NCBI's taxonomy places the organism in Eukaryota, Metazoa, Chordata, Mammalia, Primates, Cebidae. The record is from RefSeq and is a predicted model, not a curated record. The transcript has a single exon.
AUGUCGGAGGUGCAGGUCCUGGUGCUUGACAGUCGAGGCGGCUUGGCGGCCAUCACGGCUAAGCAGAUACUGCUGGGCCGGAAGGUGGUGGUUGUUCGCUGCGAGGGCAUCAACAUUUCUGGCAAUUUCUACAGAGGCAAGUUGAAGUACUUGGCUUUCCUCCGCAAGGGGGUGAACACCAACCCUUCCGGGGGCCCACUAUCACUUCCAGGUUCCAGCCGCAACUUCCGGGUCCCAGCCGCAUCUUCCGGCGGACCGUGCGAGGUAUGCUGCCCCACGAGACCUAGCGAGGCCCUGCCGCCAGGGACCGCCUCCGACCGCCUCCAGGUGUUUGACGGCAUCCACCCUAUUGCAAGAAAAAGCGGAUGGUGGUUCCUGCGGUCCUCAAGGUAGUGCGUCUGAAGCGUAUAAGGAAGUUUGCCUGUCUGGGGCGCCUGGCUUACGAGGUUGGCUGCAAGUACCAGGCAGUGACGGCCAUCCUGGAGGAGGAGGAAGGAGAAAGCCAAGAUCCACUACCGGAAGAAGCAGCAGCUCAUGAGGCUACGGAAACAAGCCGAGAAAAACGUGGAGAAGAAAACUGACAAAUACACAGAGGUCCUCAAGACCCAUUGACUCCUGGUCUGAGCCCAAUAAAGACUGUUAAUUCCUCAUGCUUGGCCUGGCCUGCUUUCCUCCAUCGUCGCCCUGGAAUAUGCGGGGCCCAGGGGCAGCCGCAGUCCGGGUGCCACAGGCAGCCUGGGCCAUAGGAAGCACGGAGCAAGGAAACGGUCCAGUCACUGCCUGCCGAGGUUACUUGAAAGCGCUCAGAGAAUUGCGCAGGUGUCAUUUAUCUAUGACCAAUUGGAAGAGCAACCAGUUACUAUUAGCAAAGGGAGCCGGAAGACUUAAUUGGAAGGGCCUUAGUUGUGAGUGGGGCGUCUAUCUAACUUUCCAUCUGGUCGUAUACUAUAUACUCUGCAGCUGUUAGAAUGUGCAAGCACCUGGGAACAGCAUGAGCCUGCUGUUGUACAAAGGGUAUUUAUAGAAGCAUAGACUGGGAAGAUGGACAACUCUGAGGGGUUACAGGCAAUGUCUGUGCCCCUUACCUG